RNAcentral lists this ribosomal RNA (378 nucleotides) under uncultured eukaryote. RNAcentral's name for it is "partial 18S ribosomal RNA". It matches the Rfam family "Eukaryotic small subunit ribosomal RNA", at positions 592 to 975 of the family's 1831-position model. The record is from RNAcentral.
CAAUAGCGUAUAUUUAAGUUGCUGCAGUUAAAAAGCUCGUAGUUGGAUUUCGGAUGGGAUUUGCCGGUCCGCCGUUUCGGUGUGCACUGGCCAGUCCCAUCUUGUUGUCGGGGACUAGCUCCUGGGCUUCACUGUCCGGGACUAGGAGCUGACGAGGUUACUUUGAGUAAAUUAGAGUGUUCAAAGCAAGCCUACGCUCUGAAUACAUUAGCAUGGAAUAACAUGAUAGGACUCUGGCUUAUCUUGUUGGUCUGUGAGACCAGAGUAAUGAUUAAGAGGGACAGUCGGGGGCAUUCGUAUUUCAUUGUCAGAGGUGAAAUUCUUGGAUUUAUGAAAGACGAACUUCUGCGAAAGCAUUUGUCAAGGAUGUUUUCAUUA